RNAcentral lists this ribosomal RNA (494 nucleotides) under uncultured bacterium. RNAcentral describes it as "partial 16S ribosomal RNA". It matches the Rfam family "Bacterial small subunit ribosomal RNA", at positions 28 to 507 of the family's 1533-position model. The record is from RNAcentral.
GACGAACGCUGGCGGCGUGCUUAACACAUGCAAGUCGAACGGAAAGGCCUGCUUUCCCUUGUGGAUUGCGGGUACUCGAGUGGGGAACGGGUGAGUAACACGUGAGUGAUCUGCCCCCAACUUGGGUAUAAGCCUGGGAAACUGGGUCUAAUUCCCGAUAGGACUGCAGGGUGGUGCCUGUGGUGGAAAACGAUUUUCUAGUGGUUGGGGAUGAGCUCGCGGCCUAUCAGCUUGUUGGUGGGGUAAUGGCCUACCAAGGCGGCGACGGGUAGCCGGCCUGGGAGGGUGGACGGCCACAUUGGGACUGAGACACGGCCCAGACGCCGACGGGAGGCAGCAGUGGGGAGUAUUGCGCAAUGGGCGGAAGCCUGAUGCAGCGACGCCGCGUGGGGGAUGACGGGCUUCGGGUUGUAAACUCCUUUCGACCGAGAGGAAGCCACCUGGUUGGAAGGGUGGUGACGGUAGUGGUAGAAGAAGCACCGGCUAACUACGUG